This 1505-nucleotide ribosomal RNA is filed under the name uncultured rumen bacterium. RNAcentral describes it as "bacterial SSU rRNA". It matches the Rfam family "Bacterial small subunit ribosomal RNA". The record is from RNAcentral.
GAGUUUGAUCCUGGCUCACAAUGAACGCUGGCGGCGUGCCUAACACAUGCAAGUCGAACGGAGAUAUCGCAGCGAGAGGAUUCGUCUGAUCAAGUGAUAUCUUAGUGGCGGACGGGUGAGUAACGCGUGGAGAACCUGCCUCUUUCCGGGGGAUAGCAGUUGGAAACGACUGGUAAUACCGCAUGAGCGCACGGUACCGCAUGGUAUAGUGUGAAAAGAUUUAUCGGGGAGAGAUGGCUCCGCGUCUGAUUAGCCAGUUGGCGGGGUAACGGCCCACCAAAGCGACGAUCAGUAGCCGGCCUGAGAGGGCGGACGGCCACAUUGGGACUGAGACACGGUCCAGACUCCUACGGGAGGCAGCAGUGGGGGAUAUUGCACAAUGGGGGGAACCCUGUUGCAGCGACGCCGCGUGAGUGAAGAAGUGUUUCGACAUGUAAAGCUCUAUCAGCAGGGAAGAAAGGCCCUUUAAGGGAGAUGACGGUACCUGACUAAGAAGCCCCGGCUAACUACGUGCCAGCAGCCGCGGUAAUACGUAGGGGGCAAGCGUUAUCCGGAUUUACUGGGUGUAAAGGGAGCGCAGACGGCAAUGCAAGUCUGAUGUGAAAACCCGGGGCUUAACCCCGGGCCUGCAUUGGAAACUGUAUAGCUGGAGUAUCGGAGAGGUGAGCGGAAUUCCUGGUGUAGCGGUGAAAUGCGCAGAUAUCAGGAAGAACACCGGCGGCGAAGGCGGCUCACUGGACGACAACUGACGUUGAGGCUCGAAAGCGUGGGUAGCAAACAGGAUUAGAUACCCUGGUAGUCCACGCCCUAAACGAUGAAUACUAGGUGUAGGGAGGCAUAGCCUUUCUGUGCCGCAGCAAACGCAAUAAGUAUUCCACCUGGGGAGUACGUUCGCAAGAAUGAAACUCAAAGGAAUUGACGGGGACCCGCACAAGCGGUGGAGCAUGUGGUUUAAUUCGAAGCAACGCGAAGAACCUUACCAGGCCUUGACAUCCCAAGGGAUAACGGGUAAUGCCGUUAGCUCUUCGGAGCCUUGGAGACAGGUGGUGCAUGGUUGUCGUCAGCUCGUGUCGUGAGAUGGGGGGGCGGGGAAAAAAAAAGAGCGCAACCCUUGCCUGUAGUAGCCAGCAUUGAGAUGGGAACUCUACAGGGACUGCCGGGGACAACCCGGAGGAAGGUGGGGAUGACGUCAAAUCAUCAUGCCCCUUACGGCCUGGGCUACACACGUGCUACAAUGGCGUAACAAAGGGAAGCGAGACUGUGAAGUUGAGCAAACCUCAAAAAUAACGUCCCAGUUCGGACUGCAGGCUGCAACCCGCCUGCACGAAGCCGGAAUCGCUAGUAAUCGCAGAUCAGAAUGCUGCGGUGAAUACGUUCCCGGGUCUUGUACACACCGCCCGUCACACCAUGGGAGUUGGUAAUGCCCGAAGUCAGUGGCCUAACGGAAAGGGGGGAGCUGCCGAAGGCAGGACUGAUGACUGGGAUAAGUCGUAACAAGGUAACCA